This is a long non-coding RNA of Myotis myotis, 1732 nucleotides long. RefSeq lists it as uncharacterized. The record is from RefSeq and is a predicted model, not a curated record. The transcript has 3 exons. NCBI's taxonomy places the organism in Eukaryota, Metazoa, Chordata, Mammalia, Chiroptera, Vespertilionidae.
UGGCGGAGGAAGUGCGCGGGCCGGCGGGAGCGGCGAGCUCCGGACUGCGGAGCCGGCAUCCCGCGCCCGCACCGGCAGCCAGGAGCCCCGCAGCGCCCGCCGCACCGGCCCCUCGGUCCCCGAGGGCCAGGGACUUGGGCUGCGAAGCCUGCCCUCCUCCCGAGGCCGCAGAGCAGGGUCACCGCCGGCAAGAAGCCCGAGGCACGUCGGGGGCGGCGGCGGCGGCGAUCCCGUUCUCCUCCCGGUUACCUGUGAGGACUCCGACGCGGAUUUGAUGGUCGUGGUUCGUGAGGAUCAUCCCCUCGGUCGCCAUGUUUCCCAGCGCAGUCACCGCACUGACAGGAGCCGGGAGAAGCGGGAGCUCGGAGCGCGCGGCCGGGAGCGCGCCCGCCGGGGACCGCGCGAGACCGCGAGCGCGAGGUGAGCGCGAGGGAAGGAGUGGGGGGGAGGCGGCCGCGACCGGUCCGCUUGCGCCUGUGAGAGGCCGCGCCGGCAGCGCGCGAGGCCGCGGGACGGGGCGGAGUCCGGGCGCGCGACCCCGAGGCCGGUGCGAGGCGGCGAGCGCGAGGGGCACACGCUGUGGCCGCCGGAGGGGGAGUGCGCGGAGGUGUCGGUCCGGGCGGAGAGUCCGAGGCCGCUCUGCCGAGCGCGAGAGCCCGGGCGGCUGGAUAGCUAGAGACUGAAGGGAACGGAGAGCACGCGCUCGGAGCUUGCGGGGGCGGACUCGGGGCCGGGGCGGAGCUACACCGCGAGGCGUGGAACUCGUGGAGAGUGAGGGGAGGAGGGGGAGCCGGCCGGACCGGCCCUGCCCGGGGGACGCUCGGGACACGCGAGUAGCGCCGGAUUGGCUGGGAGCAGGCGGCGCGGUGCGCGCGAGACCCGAACGCCGCCUCCGCGAGCGCCAGACAGAAGCAAUCCCCUGCCGAGCCGCGCUGGCGGGGCCUCUGGCCGGCUUGGCUGGGCUGCGGAGCGCUCUCCUGCGCGGGUUUGGGAAGGAGUUAGCGCCUGGGGCCGCUCCUCGCAACCCCCAGGAACUGCCGGCCGACCCCGGGAAGGCGCCAGGGGACCUGGAGGUAGCGUAGGAAGCUGCGUGGGUGGCAGAACGGCGGCCACUAGGACGGAGAUGGUGCCGUGGGCCUUGGAGGAGGAGGUCUGUCCUGCCUCGUCUUCCCCCUGGCUUCCUCCUCCCGCGGCGGUGCUCCAGGACCCGGGUCCAAGUGUGUCCACGGGGCGACCUUCCUGAACUCGGGAAUCUGCAGCGGAGCCACGCGAGUGCAGAUACCUGGCUGCUCUUCCUCCUGCUGCCAGCCCUUGGUUUUGUGGCUUCUUCGCCACGGCCUCUGCUUUCAAAUGAAAAGCACCAGUCUUGGUGCGAAGGUGUUCCUCCCACCCGAACCCUGCCAGAAAAGUGGAAAUAGAACCCAGGCCAUGGCAACUGAGUUUCAUUUUAGUAUUUGUGGGAGAUGACCAUGAAAAGAGCUUUUGUUACUUUUUUCCCCAGCCGCGGUAAAACCUGAGAAGCUUAGAAAUGAAAAGCAAAGUGUCCAAAAUGUAUAAUCACCGUUUGUACACAAUUAAAAUCUGUCAGUUUGAUGGCUAUGAGUUUAUUGUUCCAAUUGGAACAUAGACUUAUCCUCUGAGUCACAUUGUUAUGUAUUUCACGUUAAAUAAUGGAGUACAAAGGAGAUGAUGGAUGGAAUUGAGGUGGGAUAAAAUAAACUUGUAAAAAAAA